AAAAGCUCCCGACUCGCAGGCACCGCAUCUGAUUGUUCUUGUAAUUCUCUGAUUUAGCCUUAACCUUGUGCUAUUGUGCUGUGUGUAUGCAUGGUUAAAUUCUUCUCGAUAAGCCUGAAGUAUGUAGUGUUCCUUUUGGAUAUUAUGGUUGAUGUAUAAACGGCAUAUGCUUAUAUUUGGUGCUUGUACCGUAGGUGAGGUCUAUCAUAAUAUGCAGCUAUUGCUUUAACUGAGAGCGCACAUGCUAGUAAACUAGUACUAUUUCAGAUGCAAAUACUAGUGCUAUAAGAAAAUUUUUUGCUAGUUUUUCAGUUGUUACUUAAUUAUAAACACAUGUACUUUAAAUCCUGACCACUUUAUGAAUCAGCAUAUUUGAUGCAAACCAUUUUCAUUAUCGGCUACUUAUCAAUGUCCAUUGGCAACAAAAUGCAGUAGGACAAUAUGACACCUCAAUGCUGAAAAGUCUACCUGAGAUUCAUAAGCUUAAGGAAAUGAAGAUUCUGUCGCACUACAUGGUUGUCUGGAAGCCUUUCUAAAAAAAGAGGAACAGUUGGGCCCAGAAGACAUGUGGUACUGCCCAUGCUGCAAAAAGCAUCAACAAGCGAUGAAGAAAUUAGAUCUGUGGAGGCUACCGGAAGUUCUGGUCAUUCAUCUCAAAAGCAUGAAGAAGGGAAGGGAUGGUACAAGUUUGAUGAUGAGUGCGUGAGACCUAUAACUGAAGACAGUAUAAAGACACCUGCUGCUUAUGUGCUGUUCUACACACGAGAAUGAUCAAGAUACAGCUGCAAUACAUCAAAUAUUUUUUCGGGAUGUUUUGCCAAGUCUAGAUCUUCCUACAUAUUCAACAAAUGGGGCACUUGAAUCUCUCAAGUCACUAACCUAUACAACAGCAUGUACAGAUUCAAUUGCCGACAGGACAACAAAAGACCUAGCUAAUGAACUAUUCUUUUCCAGAUUCUUUUUGUACAUGGCUUGGGGGUCCUACAAUGUAAUAGCCUGCUAGUGAUUAGCCUUGGUUCUACAAAAUUCUUUUUGUCAACGAAUUGUUGAGAAUAAUUUUAAAACGAUGUAACCUCUCCUUUUAAAUUAACUCGUAUGAUCGAUCUGUUCCUGUCGCGAGUGCGACGCCAUA
Molecule: non-coding RNA, 1132 nt
Organism: Oryza sativa Japonica Group (Japanese rice)
Lineage: Eukaryota; Viridiplantae; Streptophyta; Magnoliopsida; Poales; Poaceae
Source: RefSeq, a predicted model, not a curated record